CCUACGGGUGGCUGCAGUGGGGAAUAUUGGACAAUGGGGGUAACCCUGAUCCAGCCAUGCCGCGUGUGUGAAGAAGGCCCUCGGGUUGUAAAGCACUUUCAGUGAGGAAGAACGCCUGGUGGUUAAUACCCAUCAGGAAAGACAUCACUCACAGAAGAAGCACCGGCUAACUCCGUGCCAGCAGCCGCGGUAAUACGGAGGGUGCGAGCGUUAAUCGGAAUUACUGGGCGUAAAGCGCGCGUAGGUGGCUUGAUAAGCCGGUUGUGAAAGCCCCGGGCUCAACCUGGGAACGGCAUCCGGAACUGUCAAGCUAGAGUGCAGGAGAGGAAGGUAGAAUUCCCGGUGUAGCGGUGAAAUGCGUAGAGAUCGGGAGGAAUACCAGUGGCGAAGGCGGCCUUCUGGACUGACACUGACACUGAGGUGCGAAAGCGUGGGUAGCAAACAGGAUUAGAUACCCUGGUAGUC
This 465-nucleotide ribosomal RNA is filed under the name Vreelandella stevensii. Its description in RNAcentral is "partial 16S ribosomal RNA". It matches the Rfam family "Bacterial small subunit ribosomal RNA", at positions 338 to 795 of the family's 1533-position model. Lineage: Bacteria; Pseudomonadati; Pseudomonadota; Gammaproteobacteria; Oceanospirillales; Halomonadaceae. The record is from RNAcentral.